AUUUAUAUAGUUUAAUAAAACGGUAUAUUUUCAUUAUACAGAUAAUAUUUGUGAUAUUUAUAAAUA
RNAcentral lists this transfer RNA (66 nucleotides) under Velarifictorus hemelytrus. RNAcentral describes it as "tRNA-Glu". The record is from RNAcentral. Lineage: Eukaryota; Metazoa; Arthropoda; Insecta; Orthoptera; Gryllidae.